UGUGGUCUAGCUUAACUGGCAGAGCAUCUGAUUGUUAAUCAGAACGGUUUCGGUUCGACUCCGAAGACCACAGCCA
This 76-nucleotide transfer RNA is filed under the name Acidobacteriota bacterium. RNAcentral describes it as "Acidobacteria bacterium tRNA-Asn". It matches the Rfam family "tRNA". From Rfam's summary of the family: Transfer RNA (tRNA) molecules are approximately 80 nucleotides in length. The record is from RNAcentral. Lineage: Bacteria; Pseudomonadati; Acidobacteriota. RNAcentral also lists the same sequence under 1 other name.